ACUCUGGAACAAUAUUCCUUCAUCUGUAUUUCCUCCUGCCUACGACUUGAACUCUUUCAAGAGAAGGGUAUCAGGACACCUCUCCUCCCGAAACUGACCUAUCUUUCGGCCACCUCUUUGGAUUCUUUUUAGGAGCAGCGAGUAGCGGGCUUUUUUUUAUUAAUGUUUACUUUUUUGUGCCCUUGAGCUGUCUCCUAAUUAUAAUGUAUGGAGGAAGGAUAGAAAGGGUAAAGGUGGUGGAGGAGUGAUGCUAAUGAUGAGGAAGGAGUUAUUAGUGAAGUCAGUAGUACAGUACUGUCUCCAAGUUUGCAAUAAAUAGGUCAACGUUGCGGGUUGCGAACAUUGAAAUCGCAAACUUUGAACCAUUAUUCCUUUGGGGAAAAUUGACAACAGUCAACAUCUCAUCUGAAAUGCCGAGCCAAAAGCUGGCGAUAGAGAGAGCCGGAGCCCCCGCAGCCUAACGCGUUUCAUGGAAGGGCAGGAGACAUGCAGGUCCGAGCUCUCGGCACGAGUGGCGAGAGGGCUAUACCGCCACCGCGAAAUGCGAGCUGCAGCACACCGGGCUGUUGGCCCCACACUGCAUGAGUGUGUCCAGCCUGCGACCGGCACUGCAUGAACCCUGCAGUGAUCCCUGCCGCUGCCCCGCUGCGCUGGCUUUAGCGUGGACGGCGGAGGAGGACCGGGAGCAAACGGAGAGCGCCACGCCGGGGCUAUGAGGGCCCAAACGACGUGGGGGUAGAAGUGUGGGUGGGACCAAGGAUGAUAGACAUAUAAAGGAUAGCUCGCUUAGCAUUUGUUUUUCCCACAAUGCACCACGCUCGUGACAUCACAUGUAAACAGAGACGUCACUGGAGACCCACGUGUGGCCACGGCGCCACUGGAUUGAAGUUUCAGAGAACACCACACUUCAUAUGAUGUGUAAAUCCUUUAAUAAAACCAAGAUUCAAAUGAGACUUGCUGGUCUCCAGCGCGUCACCGCCAUGACGUCAUAGAACAUGUGACGUCAUGACUGAGUUGAUGAAGUUUCACUGAACUAUCCUCAGUUGGGUGGGACCGUGGGGGUGAGGUGAACAACGGCAGUGGGCGGCAGAAUACAGUGUUGUGGUGGUGACGCUACGCUGCGCCCUGACGUCACGACCCCCUCCGCCCUGUUAACUAGAGAAAAAACCACCACUCUCACGCACGCCACCUGCAAAGUUUGCGUCAUAUCACAAUUUCAGUUUUCAAUAAAAAUCUAUUUUUUGGGGUCCCUAUCGCAAACUCAGUGAAUCGCAAACUUGAAACUCACAAUCCUGGAGUCAGUACUGUAUAAGGAGAAGGAAAGGCAGAAAUAGUGAGUAAAUCUGGAGGACAAAAACAGAAAUGAUGACGAUAAUAACAACAUAUGUACCACCAAGAACAAACUCAUGGAACAGGGAAGAAUAUGAGACCACGAUUGAAGAUACCAUCCAGGGUCCAUACUUAUAAAGAAAUUAGGCGUUUGACUUAUGUCUCACCACAGUGACGAGUUUUCACCAUAGCUGGGGCUCCAGUCGCCACGGGUAGUGGGGAACGUAAAGUUGCCAACAACGGCGAGAUCAGUUAUCUCAUGAAAAUUAAUGGAUAAGAAUACCUUAAAUUGGUGUACAUCAUAUCCAUUAUAAGAGGGUUUUGUAAAGGCUAUAGUGAGUGUUUGAAUGUAAAGCGAUUUUGAUGAGCUGUCUGGCAACACCCAGCAAUGUUUACAUUUGAAGGUCGAUGCCUCAGACGAAGACCCAGGAUUUAUGCCUGCCCGGGACCAACUUUAGCUACUCGCGCCACGUUUCAGAUUAACACUUGGGAUAUAGGACUCCAUAGGCCUGGUUUGGGCUCUUAAGACGAGCCUGAGACGAGUGUUAGCUUUAUAACUAUGUGCCCAGAGUUUGAGUAGGUUACUCAAAGCUAUCAAAAGAGUCUUGUUAGUUGGAGAUUUUAACUGUAAGGAGGUAAAUUGGGAAAUACAGGUAACUCGAUUUACGUGAGUUUGGUUUACGCAUUUUUUAAAUAACACGGGGUCCAAAAUCCAAAUAAAUGUUUAAUUUACAAGUUUUUUUUCACUUAGACGCGAUAUUUUAUGGAGUGGCCACCAGAUGUCUCACGCAACUGGACUCACACGGCGCCGCGGCCACACAGCUGAGCUCAGUUCUUCCCGCGCUCCACUUGAACAACAAUACAGUACCCACGCUGCCACGCUACUCAACAAUAGAGGUGAGCAGGUACCGGUACCAGUACCGGUACAUACGGUACCAGCUAUACGGUACGGUACCGGUACCAAUACUAGCCAGUCGCUCAUGGUGUCCCUCAUUUCUUCCUCACACGAGUGAGGCUGAGACUGAGUGCCUGAGUGGAUAUCUCGGUGAUAUGGAUAUUCUCUCUCUCUCUCUCUCUCUCUCUCUCUCUCUCUCCACUGAAUGAAAUGAAUAUUUAUUUUUCGAUAGAAACCUGCCUCUUGUUUGAUUUACAUUGUUUUUGAUUUAACCGACCUCUUCAAGGACACAAUACUCGCGUAAAUCGAGUGUUACCUGUAUUUGAAAGUGGAGGUAGUGGAGCAGCAUGGGGGGAAAGAUUUUUAACCCUUUCAAUACAGUGACACAGACGUUGGCAUCACUAUGGAAAAGGUUAAGAGGAAAUGGAAGAGGAUUAAUCCUCUUCUAAACCUCUUAAUCCUCUUCCAUUUCCUCUUAAGAGGUUUAAAAGAGGCUUAAUCCUCUUCCAUUUCCUCCUAACCCUUUCCAUACUGUGACGCCGAAGUCUGCGUCAUGUAUUGAAAGGGUUAAGAUUAACGAUGGAAAACUUGAUGAUGUAAUGGGUGAAGGAAAACAAGAGAUACAGAAGUGAUGACAAACCGGCGAGACUGGACCUGGUGUUAACAAAGGGAAUGCACUUGUUGAAUGAGUUAAGGUAUGGGUGCCCCCUGGGAAAGAGUGAUAACGUGAUAAAUAGAGAUCGAAACAGAGGAGGAAGGAAGUGAGGGGGAUGAAUCAUAUAAAAGAAACAGGUUAAACUAUAGAAAGGCAGACAUGGAAAAUCUCAGUAACUACUAUGGAGAGCUAGACUGGGAAGAGAAUGGGAAUAAGAACAAGAGAGGUACAAGAAAAGUAUGAUAUUUUUAUGGAGUCGUAUAAAUCAGGAGUUAUGAAAUAUGCACCAGAACAUAAACCCAAAGAAAAAGGAAAAAAGGACUGGUUUAAUGCAAGAUGUGCUAAGGCAAAAGAAAAAGAAAAAGUGUGAAAGAGAUUGAAAAGAAAUAAAAAAACAAAGGAAUGAAGAAGAUUUUAAGGUAGCGAGAAAUGAAUACGUGAAAAUAAGGAGAGAAGAGAAAGGAUAUGAAAAG
Eriocheir sinensis (Chinese mitten crab) is the source of this 3352-nucleotide long non-coding RNA. RefSeq lists it as uncharacterized. Lineage: Eukaryota; Metazoa; Arthropoda; Malacostraca; Decapoda; Varunidae. The record is from RefSeq and is a predicted model, not a curated record. The transcript has 2 exons.